RNAcentral lists this long non-coding RNA (2753 nucleotides) under Marmota monax (woodchuck). The stretch from base 2689 to 2753 matches the Rfam family "tRNA". The record is from RNAcentral. Lineage: Eukaryota; Metazoa; Chordata; Mammalia; Rodentia; Sciuridae.
CUGGCAUAUUCAUCAGCCUUUUCAAUACCACUCCAAAACUUACUGGGCUUAAAAUAGCAAUCUUCUUUUAACUUUGUUUUCUUUCAUUUUUCUUUCUCCUUCCUUCCUUCCUUCCUUCCUUCCUUCCUUCCUUCCUUCCUUCCUUCCUUCCUUCCUUUCUUUCUUUCUUUCUUUCUUUCUUUCUUUCUUUCUUUCUUUCUUUCUGUCUUUCUUUUUUAUUUUGGUGGUACUAGGGAUUGAACCCAGGGUGCUUGUUCACUGAGCUACAUCCUAUCCCUUUUUAUUUUUUUUGAGACAGGGUUUCCCUAAGUUUCCCAGGUUGGCCUUGAACUUGUGGUCCUCUUGCCUUAGCCACCUGAGUAGCUGGAAUACAGGUGUGGACUAUCACAUUCAGUUAACUUUGUUUUCUUGAUUUGUUUCUGGCAUCUGCACUAUUUAUUUUUUUCUUUGAAUUCAAUGUUUAUUUUUGUUAUAUCUUAACAUUUUAUUCAUAUCUUUAUGAAGAAAACAUUCAUAUCAGCAUAAUCUGAGAAUGCAUAGAAAUUAUUCUAAAAUCACACUAUAUAUUAUUUAGGUAUAAUAAAUUUAAGGUAGCUGGCACUAUAUCUUCUUCAGUUGUAAGUUUUACUCCAAGUAUACUAGGAAACUUGCAAAAGGUACUCAUCAAGUAGGUUCACAAGAUUUAUGAUUUGUGUAUUGUAAACAAUCUUUUAUUUUUAUUUUUUAAUGAAGUGAGGUGGUUUUUAAAAAUUUGUUCUAAUUAUACAUGACAGUAGAAUGCAUUUUGACACAUCAUAUAUAAAUGGAGUGUAACUUCUCUUUCUUCUGGUUGUACAUGAUGUAGAGUUGCAAAGGUUAUGUAAUCAUAUAUGCACAUAGGGUAAUAAUGUCUGACUCAUUCUGCUAUCAUUCCUACACCUAUGCCCCCCCCUUCCUUAACUCCCUUCUGUCUAAUUCAAAAUACCUCUAUUUUUCCCCACUACCUUAUUGUGAAUUAGCAUCCGCACAUCAAAGAAAAUUCGACCUCUGGUUCUUUGGGAUUGGCUUAUUUCACUUAGCAUGAUAUUCUCCAAUUCCAUCUAUUUACCAGCAAAUGCCAUAAUUUCAUUCUUCUUUAAUCCUGAGUAAUAUUCCAUUGUGUAUAUAUUCCACAGUUUCUUUAUCCAUUUACCUGUUGAAGGCACCUAGGUUGGUUUCAUGGUUUAGCAAUAUGGAAUCUCUAUACUGCUUUCCAUAGUGGUUGCACCAAUUUGGAGUCCCACCAGCAAUGUAUGAAUGUACCUUUUUCCCCACAUCCUCGUCAACAUUUAUUGUUGCUUGUAUUCUUGAUGAUUGCCAUUCUGACUGCAGUGAGAUGGAAUCUCAGUAUAAAUAAUCUUUUUAGAUGAUUGAAUACAUUUUAGUUUGCAGUUCCCAUUGAAAGUUUAAAAAAUGACCGAGUGACUGAGCUUCUUAUGUUAACAAUCAAAAAAUGAUUUCUAUGAAGAAAAAGAAAAGUCACAAAAUUUAACACACAUUAAUUCAAUCAAACAUCUGAAAGACAAAUAUGUGUUAGAAAGGAUUAAAGGCCAAAACUAUUGUGGAUUUCCUGGUCUAGUAGAGGGAAGGAUCUGAGAUUUCCCAGGGUUUCCAUUUAGGCUUUCUGCUCAGGGAAUGUAAUCACUUUACACAUCAACUCUAGCAAAAGAGGAGAAGAAAUUCAUUGGCAGCAAAAUUGAGUAAGGCAAGAGUAAAAGAUUAUCAUACAUAGACCUAAUGACCUUUGUAAAAUCAAACUUUGCAGAUAUUAAUAAAAAUAUUAAAUCAUAUUUGUGCACUGAGCAAAUUACCAUUGGUAAAAAUAAUGAAAUAAAUAGCAAACCUAUUAUGAAAUUUAACAAUGGAUGUGUCAGUUUAUAUGCUAUUUUGCAUUACCAUUGGUGUUGAUGUUGGUGAGUUGAAUUUAAGUAACUCAGCUUGUUUGAUAACUAUGUUUUCUUUCCUUACUCAUUUUAAGCAUUUUUUGAUGAAGUUUUUAUGUCUCAUUAUUUAUCAGUUUCAUAUCCCUUAAUAAUUUAUUGAUCCAUUGCUGGUUUCAAGUAAUGACUGAAAAUUUUUGAAAUGUAGUUUUGAGCUAUUAACUUAGGAAAAAAUUUUACAAAUAUUCUUAAAUUUCAGUAGCACUACCUACACAGCAGGACUUUGAGCAGGACCCACAGUUCCUCACAUGACUAAGGUAAUCUUUCAUUCUCGUUGAUGCCUAUUUCUAGAAUCCUGAGGCUCUGCUCAAACUGCUCAGCACACCUGUUGGUCUACCCUUAACAUUUGCUCCCUUCUUCAUAGAAAAAUAUCUUGACUCUCAAGGUUGAAACUUUUGCUUUAUAUCCUCGUAUUUAAACAUUCUCUCAGCUCUCACUGGAACUUCCUUUAUUUCUUAAGACAGAGAACAAAAUAGCCUACUCCUUUUCAAUGUUAUGCUUUCAUCUUGCUUCUGACCCACUCCCUUCUUAUCCAUGCCCCUUUGAAAAAAGAAGCUCUCCAUCUGUAACUUGAUUUCUCCUUUGUUUUCAGCAUUUUCCCUUUCACUUCCCUUUCUAAAUUUCAUUUAAAAAGAAAAACAAAAAACCUUUCCUUGAACAGAGCAAUUCAUUUUGGCUACCAUCCAAACUUUCUUUCUCUCAUAAUCAAGAUUCUGGAGGGGGGCCAGCCGGGGUUGUGGCUCAGAGGUAGAGCGCAUGCCUACCAUGCGUGAGGCACCGGGUUUGAUCCUCAGC